CAGUCGCCGCGGUAAAACGAAGGGUGCAAGCGUUAAUCGGAAUUACUGGGCGUAAAGCGCACGCAGGCGGUUUGUUAAGUCAGAUGUGAAAUCCCCGAGCUUAACUUGGGAACUGCAUUUGAAACUGGCAAGCUAGAGUCUUGUAGAGGGGGGUAGAAUUCCAGGUGUAGCGGUGAAAUGCGUAGAGAUCUGGAGGAAUACCGGUGGCGAAGGCGGCCCCCUGGACAAAGACUGACGCUCAGGUGCGAAAGCGUGGGGAGCAAACAGGAUUAGAUACCCCAGUAGUCCCUGUCUCUUAUAC
RNAcentral lists this ribosomal RNA (301 nucleotides) under uncultured bacterium. RNAcentral describes it as "partial 16S ribosomal RNA". It matches the Rfam family "Bacterial small subunit ribosomal RNA", at positions 509 to 807 of the family's 1533-position model. The record is from RNAcentral.